Molecule: ribosomal RNA, 497 nt
Filed under: uncultured bacterium
Lineage: Bacteria
Description: partial 16S ribosomal RNA
Rfam family: Bacterial small subunit ribosomal RNA
Source: RNAcentral
GAUGAACGCUGGCGGCGUGCCUAAUACAUGCAAGUCGAGCGAACAGACGAGGAGCUUGCUCCUCUGACGUUAGCGGCGGACGGGUGAGUAACACGUGGAUCACCUCCCUAUCAGACUGGGAUAACUUCGGGAAACCGGAGCUAAUCCCGGAUAAUAUCUUGCACCGCAUGGUUCAAUAGUGAAAGACGGUUUUGCUGUCACUUAUAGAUGGAUCCGCGCGGCAUUAGCUAGUUGGUAAGGUAACGGCAUAGCAAGGCAAGGAUGCGUAGCCGACCUGUGGGGGGGAUCGGCCACAUGGGAACGGAGACACGGACCAGAGUCCUACGGGAGGCAGCAGUAGGGAAUCGUCCGCAGUGGGCGAAAGCCUGACGGAGCAACGCCGCGUGAGUGAUGAAGGUGUUCGGAUCGUAAAACUCUGUUAUGAGGGAAGAACAAAUGUGUAAGUAACUAUGCACGUCUUGACGGUACUUAAUAAGAAAGCCACGGCUAACUACGUG